CGACGGCGGCGCCGCCCCUCACCGCUGACCACGCAGCCGGCGCGCGGUCCCUCCUGCCGACCGCGUCGCGAGACGCCUCCGACGCCACCACGAAGGAUCUUGAGCCGCCACCGGGAUGCCUUCUGUACCGCGACGCCGCCACCGCCAAGGAUCCUGCCCCAUGUGCUCUCUGUUGCGCCACCACCAGAACCCUCUCCACCACUGGCUGCAGACAAGUGCCGAUCAGGGAGAAAGACGAGAGCAACUGGUUUCGGGAGCCGGUAUGCUUCAUUAAUUUGCAGAACUCCUGUAUGUCCUUGAUCCAAAGUUCCAGCAUUGUGUAGUCUGUCAACAAUUUAAAUU
This 342-nucleotide long non-coding RNA is filed under the name Oryza sativa tropical japonica subgroup. RNAcentral describes it as "lncRNA OsAzu_11g0022830". Lineage: Eukaryota; Viridiplantae; Streptophyta; Magnoliopsida; Poales; Poaceae. RNAcentral also lists the same sequence under 1 other name. The record is from RNAcentral.